RNAcentral lists this long non-coding RNA (966 nucleotides) under Phasianus colchicus (ring-necked pheasant). Its description in RNAcentral is "lncRNA (ENSPCLG00000000995.1)". Lineage: Eukaryota; Metazoa; Chordata; Aves; Galliformes; Phasianidae. The record is from RNAcentral.
GCCCAGGUUCCCUCCCUGACAAAUGAUUGAAUGACUUAGCGAAGUUCUUUUCUUUCAUCUAUUAACUUUUUUCAACACGUUUUGUUUCAACCAUUGCCUUUAGUCCAGGAGCCAUCUGUGACUCUCGUCAAUAACAAGUAAAUUCCCAAAGAAUAAAUACAAAAGGGUUUAUUCACUACAGAUUUUUCAAUCACAUGCAUUUCAUGUACUGACUUAAGCUGUAACUUGUAGUUUGGCUGAUGCUUCUAUUAGCUUAUGUAUGGGAACUGCUGAAUCACGACCUGAACCUCUGAUUGACCACCUGAGGCAAGCACCGAGUCAGCCAUGGGUGCACAGGUGAAGGUAAUUCACCUGUGCUACUGGAAGGGGUGGAGCCUGGCUGCACCUCUCCUAGAUCCCAUUUAAGGGCUGACUGCCACUGAGGAAGGAUCUCUUCCUAGAGGUUGCUGUUUGUGGAGGAUGUUGUGUGCUUUCAACAUUGAAGAUCAACAACUGCCAAGGAAAUACCAACUUACUUCUGUACUUCAGGGGCAUCCAGGAAAGUGCUCAGAAGCAUGAGACAAAACGUAGAGAGUUUGCAAACUAAAGGCAAGCAACAAGCAGUGGAUGGACCAAAGAUAGUUCCCUCUGGACAUAGCAUACAGCAACUAAGAUUCAUGUUUAAAGGGUUACAUGUUACAGUUUCAAACAAUGGUUUACACUCCAUGGAAAAAAAUACUGCAGAGACAUGCUUUGCAUGGAAUUGGAUAACUGAAUUUUGCAAGAAUAAUAGCUGAAACUGGCCUUCAGACCUUCUAGUUGUAGUACUGGAAGGAGAAGAUUGUGACCUCAAGUCAAUGGAUGAUAAAUACACUGUGCUUAAAAAAAACUGCUGGAGAACAUCAAGGAGAGAAGAAAACUGACCCAGUGUCUAAAUGUCUAGUUCUGGUCUCUCUUGAACAGUAGCUCAUUAUACCUACCUGAAAA